GAUGAAGAACGCAGCGAAAUGCGAUAAGUAAUGUGAAUUGCAGAAUCCAGUGAAUCAUCGAAUCUUUGAACGCACAUUGCGCCCGCCAGCAUUCUGGCGGGCAUGCCUGUUCGAGCGUCAUUUCAACCCUCGACCUCCCUUUGGGGAGGUCGGCGUUGGGGACCGGCAGCACACCGCCGGCCCUGAAAUGGAGUGGCGGCCCGUCUGCGGCGACCUCAGCGUAGUAAUACAGCUCGCACCGGAACCCCGACGCGGCCACGCCGUAAAACACCCAACUUCUGAACGUUGACCUCGAAUCAGGUAGGACUACCCGCUGAACUUAAGCAUAUCAAUAAGCGGAGGA
This 343-nucleotide unclassified non-coding RNA is filed under the name soil metagenome. RNAcentral's name for it is "partial contains 5.8S ribosomal RNA, internal transcribed spacer 2, and large subunit ribosomal RNA". The stretch from base 1 to 120 matches the Rfam family "5.8S ribosomal RNA", at positions 35 to 154 of the family's 154-position model. The record is from RNAcentral.